Vicia faba (fava bean) is the source of this 246-nucleotide non-coding RNA. The record is from the annotation of a GenBank genome assembly. NCBI's taxonomy places the organism in Eukaryota, Viridiplantae, Streptophyta, Magnoliopsida, Fabales, Fabaceae.
AUGUCUUGUGGUGCUAUAGAAAUGAUAAAUGAUUUGCUAUUCAAAAUUACUAAGUUUUCUUUCAUAUCCAUUCUUGUCCUUUUCUUUAUUUUUUCAGUUGUAACCAUGACAUGUCAAGCAGACAAAUUAUGUAAGACAAUCCGUUAUGGUCCUUCUAGUGUUUGUAUCCUUUGGGAUUGUCAACAAUGGUGCUAUGAGCAGCUUCUUCUUCCCUACUCUAAGUGUUCAGCGCACUCGCCUAUGUAA